This 236-nucleotide ribosomal RNA is filed under the name uncultured bacterium. RNAcentral's name for it is "partial 16S ribosomal RNA". It matches the Rfam family "Bacterial small subunit ribosomal RNA", at positions 100 to 334 of the family's 1533-position model. The record is from RNAcentral.
CGGCACGGGUGGGUAACACGUAUCCAACCUGCCGUCUACUCUUGGACAGCCUUCUGAAAGGAAGAUUAAUACAAGAUGGCAUCAUGAGUCCGCAUGUUCACAUGAUUAAAGGUAUUCCGGUAGACGAUGGGGAUGCGUUCCAUUAGAUAGUAGGCGGGGUAACGGCCCACCUAGUCUUCGAUGGAUAGGGGUUCUGAGAGGAAGGUCCCCCACAUUGGAACUGAGACACGGUCCAA